This 200-nucleotide ribosomal RNA is filed under the name uncultured bacterium. RNAcentral's name for it is "partial 16S ribosomal RNA". It matches the Rfam family "Bacterial small subunit ribosomal RNA", at positions 8 to 222 of the family's 1533-position model. The record is from RNAcentral.
AGAGUUUGAUCAUGGCUCAGAAUCAACGCUGGCGGCGCGCCUAACACAUGCAAGUCGCACGAGAAAGUGGAGCAAUCCAUGAGUAAAGUGGCGUACGGGUGAGUAACACGUGGAUCAUCUGCCUCUUAGUGGGGAAUAACCCUGGGAAACCGGGGCUAAUACCGCAUACGCUCGAGAGAGGAAAGCAGCAAUGCGCUGGA